RNAcentral lists this long non-coding RNA (810 nucleotides) under Ananas comosus (pineapple). RNAcentral describes it as "long non-coding RNA (ACOM_LNC030718)". The record is from RNAcentral. Lineage: Eukaryota; Viridiplantae; Streptophyta; Magnoliopsida; Poales; Bromeliaceae.
AAUUUUAUUUAUAAAUAUAUAUUUAUUUAUUAUAUAUAAUAUUUUAUUUAUAUAUUUAUAAUUAUUUAUUAAUAUUUCUAAAUACAUAACUUUUAUAUAUUAUUAAUAUAUAUUUAUUAUAACUUUGAAUAUAUUUAAUCUAUAUAAAAAAAAUUAUAAAAAUAAUAUAUAUAGUAUAUUAAUUAUUAUAUAUUUAUUAUAUAGCCGAAUUUUUUAUUUCGAAUUUUUAAUUGGUAAACGUAUAAUAUCCGUAUAAAUCACGUAUCCGAAUAAUUACCAAAUCCGUUUUUUAACCGUAUUUUUCAACAAAUUUAAAAAUUAAAUGACGAAUUUUAUCCGAAUUAUAUCCGUACCGAAUUUUUGCCGAAUCCGAAUUAACUAACUAUGUUACGGACCGGAUUCAUCUACUAAGAAUUGGAGAGAUUUGAAAUUUUAGAGGGUAUUUAGAAAUUAUAUAUAAACUCGAUCAUAUAUAGCUUGUUUGGAUUAAGUCUAUGGACCUUAGGACUUGUUUGGUCACGCGUUAGAAUUAGUAUUGUUUAAUAAAUUAUUAUCCUAUCGUUAAUUUUUGGGGAAUACCUUUUAUUUUUUAUUCACUUAAUACACAAGAGAACAAUAUUUGAAUAGAAUGAAUAAUCAAUAUUAUGUUCAAUAGUAGUAAUUUUCAAUUUGGAAGCUCUAUCAUGAAAAACAAAUCGAUAAUAACGGAACUCAUUUGCUAUCGAUAUUAUUCUAAGAUUUAGAAGCUCUAUCGUCGAAAACAAAUUAGUAGUAGGGAAACUAGUUUACGACUGAUAUUAUUCUAGGGAA